ACGCGAACACCAUACAGAUAAUGCUGCUAUAUUUUUAAAGCAAACACAACUCCUCUCAUGCACUUUCAACUAACUGGAAGCAUAGGUAAUCACCUUCACAUGCUGCAUCAAAACACAACUAAGCCCUACCCGAGAUGCAUCACAAUAAACUACAAACUCAUUAUCGCCCUCCAGUAAAGUCAAAAUUAGAGCCGACAUCAAUCUAUCCUUCAAUUUCUCAAAACUCCC
RNAcentral lists this long non-coding RNA (228 nucleotides) under Capsicum annuum. RNAcentral's name for it is "long non-coding RNA (CANN_LNC006247)". Lineage: Eukaryota; Viridiplantae; Streptophyta; Magnoliopsida; Solanales; Solanaceae. The record is from RNAcentral.